This 655-nucleotide ribosomal RNA is filed under the name Enterobacter sp. Its description in RNAcentral is "bacterial SSU rRNA". It matches the Rfam family "Bacterial small subunit ribosomal RNA", at positions 46 to 695 of the family's 1533-position model. The record is from RNAcentral. Lineage: Bacteria; Pseudomonadati; Pseudomonadota; Gammaproteobacteria; Enterobacterales; Enterobacteriaceae.
GCCUACCAUGCAGUCGAGCGGUAGCACAGAGAGCUUGCUCUCGGGUGACGAGUGGCGGACGGGUGAGUAAUGUCUGGGAAACUGCCUGAUGGAGGGGGAUAACUACUGGAAACGGUAGCUAAUACCGCAUAACGUCGCAAGACCAAAGAGGGGGACCUUCGGGCCUCUUGCCAUCAGAUGUGCCCAGAUGGGAUUAGCUAGUAGGUGGGGUAACGGCUCACCUAGGCGACGAUCCCUAGCUGGUCUGAGAGGAUGACCAGCCACACUGGAACUGAGACACGGUCCAGACUCCUACGGGAGGCAGCAGUGGGGAAUAUUGCACAAUGGGCGCAAGCCUGAUGCAGCCAUGCCGCGUGUAUGAAGAAGGCCUUCGGGUUGUAAAGUACUUUCAGCGGGGAGGAAGGCGAUAAGGUUAAUAACCUUGUCGAUUGACGUUACCCGCAGAAGAAGCACCGGCUAACUCCGUGCCAGCAGCCGCGGUAAUACGGAGGGUGCAAGCGUUAAUCGGAAUUACUGGGCGUAAAGCGCACGCAGGCGGUCUGUCAAGUCGGAUGUGAAAUCCCCGGGCUCAACCUGGGAACUGCAUUCGAAACUGGCAGGCUAGAGUCUUGUAGAGGGGGGUAGAAUUCCAGGUGUAGCGGUGAAAUGCGUAGAA